AUACAUGCAAGUCGAGCGAAUGGAUUAAGAGCUUGCUCUUAUGAAGUUAGCGGCGGACGGGUGAGUAACACGUGGGUAACCUGCCCAUAAGACUGGGAUAACUCCGGGAAACCGGGGCUAAUACCGGAUAACAUUUUGAACCGCAUGGUUCGAAAUUGAAAGGCGGCUUCGGCUGUCACUUAUGGAUGGACCCGCGUCGCAUUAGCUAGUUGGUGAGGUAACGGCUCACCAAGGCAACGAUGCGUAGCCGACCUGAAAGGGUGAUCGGCCACACUGGGACUGAAACACGGCCCAGACUCCUACGGGAGGCA
Molecule: ribosomal RNA, 311 nt
Filed under: Bacillus cereus
Lineage: Bacteria; Bacillati; Bacillota; Bacilli; Caryophanales; Bacillaceae
Description: bacterial SSU rRNA
Rfam family: Bacterial small subunit ribosomal RNA
Source: RNAcentral